RNAcentral lists this ribosomal RNA (433 nucleotides) under uncultured bacterium. RNAcentral's name for it is "partial 16S ribosomal RNA". It matches the Rfam family "Bacterial small subunit ribosomal RNA", at positions 29 to 507 of the family's 1533-position model. The record is from RNAcentral.
AACGAACGCUGGCGGCAGGCCUAACACAUGCAAGUCGAGCGCGCCCUUCGGGGUGAGCGGCGGACGGGUGAGUAACGCGUGGGAACGUGCCCUUUUCUACGGAAUAGCCUCGGGAAACUGAGAGUAAUACCGUAUACGCCCUUUGGGGGAAAGAUUUAUCGGAAAAGGAUCGGCCCGCGUUGGAUUAGGUAGUUGGUGGGGUAAUGGCCUACCAAGCCGACGAUCCAUAGCUGGUUUGAGAGGAUGAUCAGCCACACUGGGACUGAGACACGGCCCAGACUUCUACGGGAGGCAGCAGUGGGGAAUCUUAGACAAUGGGGGCAACCCUGAUCUAGCCAUGCCGCGUGAGUGAUGAAGGCCUUAGGGUUGUAAAGCUCUUUCAGCUGGGAAGAUAAUGACGGUACCAGCAGAAGAAGCCCCGGCUAACUCCGUG